Long non-coding RNA from Malaclemys terrapin pileata, 519 nucleotides. RefSeq lists it as uncharacterized. Lineage: Eukaryota; Metazoa; Chordata; Testudines; Emydidae. The transcript has 3 exons. The record is from RefSeq and is a predicted model, not a curated record.
ACUGAACCAGGGCUGCAGAGAUGGAAAACACAGGCGAGACAACGAAGGGGGGAAGCAGAGCUGCGCGUCCCUGGAGCUGGUGUGUUUUGGGAAAGUUGAAGAGACCACAGAAAGCCAGUUUGGACUGAUACAAAGAACACCAGAAACAGAGGUCAUGGAACAAAACACUCCCAAAGGAACCCUAGACUUAAAAACCCUCCUGAGAGCUGGAGCAAUUUGGAGAUCACAGCGGACCCCGGACAAUCUGGACUCAGGACAAGAACUCCCGUCCACCCCUCCCCCUCUUCUUCUUACAUUACACCCAGGCUUGGCCAACCUCGGGUCGUGUGUGUGUGAGUAUGAAAGAUGUUAACUCCAGGAUCCACUCUACAUGUGGCAGGAAGAGAAGCGAGCAACAGGUCUGACUCUCCCACCAAAGCAAUUACGCCCUGGCUGCUGGGUGUCUGCCAUGAUCCAGGCAAGGUGCUCUGAGACUCACCACACUUAUUUCCAGGUACAACUGCAGCACACAGACAGAAG